UUCAGGAGCCCGUCUUAUCAACGAUCGUACGCCAAAGAUAAUCGUAAGAAACGGCUAAGAUCGUCGUACGAUUUUCUUAAGAUUUUACAGUGUCUUAUGAAAAUUCCCAUCUUACCUAAAUCUUACGAUUUUGCCUAAAAAGUUACGACUACCUCUUGGCACUCGCAAAUAUUGCGAUAUUCGUAAAUAUGGCGGAAUUUGUUGCGUUGUUUGAUGUAAACGAGCAAAACAGACGCAGACAAAGGGUUUUCCGUGAACGUGUGAAUAUUUUGGAUGAAUUAAGAGACGAAGAAAUCAUCGCACGAUACAGACUGAGCAGAGAAGCGAUUACGUACCUGAAUGAAACAUUGAGGGUAGAUUUAGAACCGAAGACAAAAAGAUCAAACUCACUCUCAUCUCUUACUCAGGUUCUAAUCGGGCUUCGGUUCUUGAGCAAGGGUGAUUUUUUUUUCUGAGGUUGCCGAUAUUCAUGGUGUCAGUAAGCCUACAGCAGCUCGAUGCUUCCAUGUUUUCAUUGAUAGCCUGAAUCGUCGUCUACAUAAUAUCAGAUUCCCGACUGAAAAUGGCGCUAUGGCACUCUCAAAACAAGACUUCUACAGGCGGUGUAGGAUUCCAAACGUUCUCGGUGCUGUUGAUGGGACUUUGGUUCCAAUUCUAGGCCCUUCCGAAAAUGAAGAGGCAUAUAUUUGUAGAAAGGGGUUUCACGCCAUCAAUGUGCAAGCUGUUUGUGAUUCUCGAAUGAAUUUCAUAGAUGUAGUUGCAAAGUGGCCAGGUUCGCAGCAUGAUGCUUCCAUUUUCAACACCUGUGGUCUAAAGGAACACCUGGAAAGAACACAUGCAGGAAUUUUGCUUGGGGAUAGCGGAUAUGGCCUGAGAAGAUAUCUUCUAACACCUAAACAAAAUCCCAUGACAGAGUCUGAAAGGCGUUACAAUAAUUACCAUGCCAGGGGAAGAGUGGUUAUUGAAAGAGCGUUUGGUGUGCUGAAAUCUAGAUUUCGGUAGG
Dreissena polymorpha is the source of this 1003-nucleotide long non-coding RNA. RefSeq lists it as uncharacterized. Lineage: Eukaryota; Metazoa; Mollusca; Bivalvia; Myida; Dreissenidae. The record is from RefSeq and is a predicted model, not a curated record. The transcript has 5 exons.